UCGGAACGUGUCCUGUAGUGGGGGAUAGCCCGGCGAAAGCCGGAUUAAUACCGCAUACGAUCUACGGAAGAAAGCGGGGGAUCGCAAGACCUCGCGCUAUAGGGGCGGCCGAUGGCAGAUUAGCUAGUUGGUGGGGUAAAGGCCUACCAAGGCGACGAUCUGUAGCUGGUCUGAGAGGACGACCAGCCACACUGGGACUGAGACACGGCCCAGACUCCUACGGGAGGCAGCAGUGGGGAAUUUUGGACAAUGGGGGAAACCCUGAUCCAGCAAUGCCGCGUGUGUGAAGAAGGCCUUCGGGUUGUAAAGCACUUUUGUCCGGAAAGAAAACCUUCGAGUUAAUACCUUGGGGGGAUGACGGUACCGGAAGAAUAAGCACCGGCUAACUACGUGCCAGCAGCCGCGGUAAUACGUAGGGUGCGAGCGUUAAUCGGAAUUACUGGGCGUAAAGCGUGCGCAGGCGGUUCGUUAAGACAGAUGUGAAAUCCCCGGGCUUAACCUGGGAACUGCAUUUGUGACUGGCGAGCUAGAGUAUGGCAGAGGGGGGUAGAAUUCCACGUGUAGCAGUGAAAUGCGUAGAGAUGUGGAGGAAUACCGAUGGCGAAGGCAGCCCCCUGGGCCAAUACUGACGCUCAGCACGA
Molecule: ribosomal RNA, 641 nt
Filed under: Caballeronia sp.
Lineage: Bacteria; Pseudomonadati; Pseudomonadota; Betaproteobacteria; Burkholderiales; Burkholderiaceae
Description: bacterial SSU rRNA
Rfam family: Bacterial small subunit ribosomal RNA
Source: RNAcentral